Molecule: small RNA, 565 nt
Filed under: Pan troglodytes (chimpanzee)
Lineage: Eukaryota; Metazoa; Chordata; Mammalia; Primates; Hominidae
Description: processed transcript
Source: RNAcentral
UAAUUACAAACAGUUUUGUAACUCUUUGCUUUUUAAAUCUUAAAAAAAAAAAGUUGCUGAAGUACUGUACAGGGUUGUACAAUGAGAACCCAAUGCCAAGGCAAAAAGAACGAGUGAUUCUUCCUUAGGAUACACAUCAACCACUUUGCUGUUGAAGCUGUCAGAAUAAAUUCCUGGUGGUCAGAUGAAAGGGCAGAUUAAAUGGACUCAUCAGGUGGGAUUUCUGGCUGCUGAAACCGCUUUGGGCCAGGAAGAACAAGGAUGAAGAGGUUCCUGUCAUUUCUUAUGGGGUUCACAGAAUUAUUUGGGGCUUAAAUGGUACAAUGGAGACAGUCAUGUGCAAUGCUUAAGAUGGUCUGACAGGGUCCCUUUUGCUGGAGGUGUUCCUGAAGAGAUUGAACCUAGUAACAGGCUUUAUUUUCACCUUGUGUACAACAUGGCAAAGACUGCUAAGAUUAAAAUCCGUCUCCCAUUUGUUACAGCCUCACCUGCACCAGGAUAGAAAGCACAUGAUGGAAUCUGUGAUGUCUAAUGUGUCUUAUGAAAAUUGCCAAACAACUGUCCC